UACGGGAGGCAGCAGUGGGGAAUAUUGCACAAUGGGCGCAAGCCUGAUGCAGCCAUGCCGCGUGUAUGAAGAAGGCCUUCGGGUUGUAAAGUACUUUCAGUCGUGAGGAAGGUGUUAAGGUUAAUAACCUUAGCAAUUGACGUUAGCGACAGAAGAAGCACCGGCUAACUCCGUGCCAGCAGCCGCGGUAAUACGGAGGGUGCGAGCGUUAAUCGGAAUUACUGGGCGUAAAGGGCACGCAGGCGGUUAAUUAAGUUGGAUGUGAAAUCCCCGGGCUUAACCUGGGAAUGGCAUUCAAGACUGGUUAGCUAGAGUCUUGUAGAGGGGGUAGAAUUCCAUGUGUAGCGGUGAAAUGCGUAGAGAUGUGGAGGAAUACCGGGUGGCGAAGGCGGGCCCCUGGGACAAAGACUGACGCUCAUGUGCGAAAAGCGUGGGGAGCGAAACAGGAUUAGAUACCAU
This 459-nucleotide ribosomal RNA is filed under the name uncultured bacterium. RNAcentral's name for it is "bacterial SSU rRNA". It matches the Rfam family "Bacterial small subunit ribosomal RNA", at positions 340 to 788 of the family's 1533-position model. The record is from RNAcentral.